AUUGAACGCUGGCGGCAUGCCUUACACAUGCAAGUCGAACGGCAGCGCGGGGCAACCUGGCGGCGAGUGGCGAACGGGUGAGUAAUAUAUCGGAACGUACCCUGGAGUGGGGGAUAACGUAGCGAAAGUUACGCUAAUACCGCAUACGAUCUAAGGAUGAAAGUGGGGGAUUCGCAAGAACCUCAUGCUCCUGGAGCGGCCGAUAUCUGAUUAGCUAGUUGGUAGGGUAAAAGCCUACCAAGGCAUCGAUCAGUAGCUGGUCUGAGAGGACGACCAGCCACACUGGAACUGAGACACGGUCCAGACUCCUACGGGAGGCAGCAGUGGGGAAUUUUGGACAAUGGGCGCAAGCCUGAUCCAGCAAUGCCGCGUGAGUGAAGAAGGCCUUCGGGUUGUAAAGCUCUUUUGUCAGGGAAGAAACGGGUCUUUCUAAUACAGAGGCCUAAUGACGGUACCUGAAGAAUAAGCACCGGCUAACUACGUGC
This 485-nucleotide ribosomal RNA is filed under the name uncultured bacterium. RNAcentral's name for it is "bacterial SSU rRNA". It matches the Rfam family "Bacterial small subunit ribosomal RNA", at positions 30 to 508 of the family's 1533-position model. The record is from RNAcentral.